CACAGUCCAGUACCGGGGCAGACACGCGGGCAGUUUCUGCGCAGCGCAAGAUCCUCGGAGAAGGGGGACACGUUUCCCCCGCAUCCCAUGGGAGAUGACUGUGUCCAGGACUCUGUGCAAAUACUAAAAGCUGUAGAGGCUCCGGCUCCCUGCGGGAAAUGAUGUAGAACAACGCACGCAGUCAGCCCGCCACGCCCGCAGACUCCUGGUGGUGGGACACAAACAGUACAGGAUUCAAAAUUUAAAAAAAAAAAAUCCAGAUGUAAGUUGAAACUGCUUGAAUGGCUCAAGAAGAAAAUGGGAAAAAAUUAAAAUCACAG
Artibeus jamaicensis (Jamaican fruit-eating bat) is the source of this 320-nucleotide long non-coding RNA. RefSeq lists it as uncharacterized. NCBI's taxonomy places the organism in Eukaryota, Metazoa, Chordata, Mammalia, Chiroptera, Phyllostomidae. The record is from RefSeq and is a predicted model, not a curated record. The transcript has 3 exons.